GAUUUCUGGUUUGGCGCGUUCGGCCCUCUCGGGGUCUUCCCCGGUGUGUGUGUCGAUUGCGCGCCUGCCAUCCUUGGCGAGAACGACUCUACCCUUCACUGGGCUCGGAGCCGCGAUCGCCAUCUUUUACUUUGAAAAAAUUAGAGUGUUUAAAGCAGGCUUGUGCUAUGAAUACAUUAGCAUGGAAUAAUAAUUUAGGACUUUGGCCCUAUUUUGUUGGUUUCUAGGACUAAAGUAAUGAUUGAUAGGGAUAGUUGGGGGUGCUAGUAUUCAGCGGCCAGAGGUGAAAUUCUUGGAUUCGCUGAAGACUAACUUAUGCGAAAGCAUU
This 328-nucleotide ribosomal RNA is filed under the name uncultured Thaumatomonas. RNAcentral describes it as "SSU rRNA". The stretch from base 121 to 328 matches the Rfam family "Eukaryotic small subunit ribosomal RNA", at positions 746 to 955 of the family's 1831-position model. Lineage: Eukaryota; Cercozoa; Imbricatea; Thaumatomonadida; Thaumatomastigidae. The record is from RNAcentral.